UACAUAUAGAUAUAUGAUAGAUUAUCACUUGUCGAUUAUCAUAUCGAAGAUAUUACGUCGUUCUUUACUUAUAUAUUUAUUGAAAAUAAUAUAUUUAUCAUUAGAUAAUAGAUUUUCCAUCGGAUAUUCCCUGCUAUCUUUUGACAGGUUUGACUUAUCUAAUUGACAGGUGCCAAAAGCUUAAGGUGACCAUACGUACUGACUAUUUGUUCUGCCCGCCAUAUCCCCUGCUGGUAUAACAACUUUACUUUCAUUUUUUUCAAAGUGCGCUGGCGCUUUGAAUUUGUGGUUGCGCAUGCGUAUAACAUAUCUUCCACUCAUGACGUCGCCAUUUCAUAAUUAUUCCAAGGUUCCUUGGCAGCGUUCUUACAACGAAGCUAUAUACAAGGAGGACGAUCGAGAUAGGCGCUGCGUCGAAUUUGUGUUGUUGAAAAUGACUGAAUAUCGAAUACGAUAAUUAUCCACGAGGGCGGCGGUGAUGUUCUUAAGUUUAGAUUUAAGUACGUGUGAUUUUAUAAAUAAACAAAUGAAAUUAAUAGUUCUCUUUGAUGUUUUUGUUUUAAUUACUGUUUUUAAAAAUCAGACCAAGCGACUAGACGCGCUCUCUAAUGGC
Long non-coding RNA from Polistes canadensis, 613 nucleotides. RefSeq lists it as uncharacterized. The transcript has 3 exons. The record is from RefSeq and is a predicted model, not a curated record. Lineage: Eukaryota; Metazoa; Arthropoda; Insecta; Hymenoptera; Vespidae.